RNAcentral lists this transfer RNA (82 nucleotides) under Mycobacterium sp. RNAcentral's name for it is "tRNA-Leu". It matches the Rfam family "tRNA". From Rfam's summary of the family: Transfer RNA (tRNA) molecules are approximately 80 nucleotides in length. The record is from RNAcentral. Lineage: Bacteria; Bacillati; Actinomycetota; Actinomycetes; Mycobacteriales; Mycobacteriaceae.
GCGCGAGUGGCGGAAUUGGCAGACGCGCAGAAUUUAGGUUCCUGUACCGAAAGGUGUGGGGGUUCGACUCCCCCCUCGCGCA